GCCUGGGUGGCUCAGUGGUUGAGCAUCUGCCUUUGACUCAGGGUGGGAUCCGGUCCUGGGAUCGAGUCCCACACCAGGCU
RNAcentral lists this transfer RNA (80 nucleotides) under Canis lupus dingo (dingo). It matches the Rfam family "tRNA". From Rfam's summary of the family: Transfer RNA (tRNA) molecules are approximately 80 nucleotides in length. Their secondary structure includes four short double-helical elements and three loops (D, anti-codon, and T loops). The record is from Rfam by way of RNAcentral. Lineage: Eukaryota; Metazoa; Chordata; Mammalia; Carnivora; Canidae.